GAUGAACGCUGGCGGCGUGCCUAAUACAUGCAAGUCGAACGGAGAUUGUAGCAAUACGGUCUUAGUGGCGAACGGGUGAGUAACGCGUUGGUAACCUGCCCCGAAGCGUGGGAUAACGGUCCGAAAGGACCACUAAUACCACAUGUGAUCCCGAGGAAUAGAUACUUGGGAUGAAAGGAGCAAUUCGCUUCGGGAGGGACCUGCGUCCCAUCAGCUAGUUGGUAGGGUAACGGCCUACCAAGGCGAUGACGGGUAGGGGACCUGAGAGGGUGGCCCCCCACAAUGGAACUGAAACAACGGUCCAUACACCUACGGGUGGCAGCAGUAGGGAUAUUGGUUAAUGUGCGAAAGCGCGAACCAGCAACGCCGCGUGUGCGAUGAAGGCCUUC
This 389-nucleotide ribosomal RNA is filed under the name uncultured bacterium. Its description in RNAcentral is "bacterial SSU rRNA". It matches the Rfam family "Bacterial small subunit ribosomal RNA", at positions 28 to 419 of the family's 1533-position model. The record is from RNAcentral.